GAGAGAUUAACUCAGUUGGCUUAGAGCAUGGUGCUAAUAGCACCAAGCUUAUGGGUUCAAUCCCCGUACAGGCCG
Lamprotornis superbus is the source of this 75-nucleotide non-coding RNA. The record is from the annotation of a GenBank genome assembly. Lineage: Eukaryota; Metazoa; Chordata; Aves; Passeriformes; Sturnidae.